UACGGAGGGUGCAAGCGUUGUCCGGAUUUAUUGGGUUUAAAGGGUGCGUAGGCGGCCUCUUAAGUCAGUGGUGAAAGCCCGCGGCUCAACCGCGGAACUGCCCUGGAUACUGGCGAGCUUGAGUCCAGACGAGGUUGGCGGAAUGGAUGCUGUAGCGGUGAAAUGCAUAGAUAGCAUCCAGAACCCCGAUUGCGUAGGCAGCUGACUAGGCUGGUACUGACACUGAGGCACGAAAGCGUGGGGAGCGAACAGG
This 253-nucleotide ribosomal RNA is filed under the name uncultured bacterium. RNAcentral's name for it is "partial 16S ribosomal RNA". It matches the Rfam family "Bacterial small subunit ribosomal RNA", at positions 524 to 776 of the family's 1533-position model. The record is from RNAcentral.